Molecule: ribosomal RNA, 253 nt
Filed under: uncultured bacterium
Lineage: Bacteria
Description: partial 16S ribosomal RNA
Rfam family: Bacterial small subunit ribosomal RNA
Source: RNAcentral
UACGCAGGGUGCGAGCGUUGUCCGGAAUUAUUGGGCGUAAAGAGCUCGUAGGCGGUUUGUCGCGUCUGCCGUGAAAGUCCGGGGCUCAACUCCGGAUCUGCGGUGGGUACGGGCAGACUAGAGUGAUGUAGGGGAGACUGGAAUUCCUGGUGUAGCGGUGAAAUGCGCAGAUAUCAGGAGGAACACCGAUGGCGAAGGCAGGUCUCUGGGCAUUAACUGACGCUGAGGAGCGAAAGCAUGGGGAGCGAACAGG